UACGUAGGGGACUAGCGUUGUUCGGAAUUACUGGGCGUAAAGCGCACGUAGGCGGAUUUGUAAGUCAGGGGUGAAAUCCCGGGGCUCAACCUCGGAACUGCCUUUGAUACUGCAAAUCUCGAGUUCGGAAGAGGGUCGUGGAAUUCCCAGUGUAGAGGUGAAAUUCGUAGAUAUUGGGAAGAACACCGGUGACGAAGGCGGCGACCUGGUCCGACACUGACGCUGAGGCGCGAAAGCGUGGGGAGCAAACAGG
RNAcentral lists this ribosomal RNA (253 nucleotides) under uncultured bacterium. RNAcentral's name for it is "partial 16S ribosomal RNA". It matches the Rfam family "Bacterial small subunit ribosomal RNA", at positions 524 to 776 of the family's 1533-position model. The record is from RNAcentral.